RNAcentral lists this transfer RNA (61 nucleotides) under Eutreptiella gymnastica. The record is from RNAcentral. Lineage: Eukaryota; Euglenozoa; Euglenophyceae; Eutreptiales; Eutreptiaceae.
CAUAGCCCAGUUGUCAAGGUACUUGACUGCAAUUCCAAUGACCACUGGUUCAAAUCCUGGU